UGGGGAAUAUUGCGCAAUGGGCGAAAGCCUGACGCAGCAACGCCGCGUGAGUGAUGAAGGCCUUCGGGUCGUAAAGCUCUGUCGGAGGGAACGAAUGCUCUUGAGGUUAACAGCCUCGGGAGGUGACGGUACCCUCAAAGGAAGCACCGGCUAACUCUGUGCCAGCAGCCGCGGUAAUACAGAGGGUGCAAGCGUUGUUCGGAAUCACUGGGCGUAAAGGGUGCGUAGGCGGCUGUGUAAGUCUGGCGUGAAAGCCCAGGGCUCAGCCCUGGAAGGGCGCUAGAAACUGCGCGGCUAGAGUGCCGGAGGGGAGAGUGGAAUUCCUGGUGUAGCGGUGAAAUGCGUAGAUAUCAGGAGGAAUACCGGUGGCGAAAGCGACUCUCUGGACGGCAACUGACGCUGAGGCACGAAAGCGUGGGGAGCAAACAGGAUUAGAUACCCCAGUAGUCCCUGAGCGGGCUGGCAAGGCGCAU
RNAcentral lists this ribosomal RNA (473 nucleotides) under uncultured bacterium. RNAcentral describes it as "bacterial SSU rRNA". It matches the Rfam family "Bacterial small subunit ribosomal RNA", at positions 355 to 825 of the family's 1533-position model. The record is from RNAcentral.